CCUUGACACCCCUACACUUCCUAAAAUACACCCUGUAUGUGAAAAACAAGCCCGAAAUACAAUAUAUAAAUUAAAAACAAGAAAUAGUAAGUUGAGGCGGGCCGCGUAGACCCACCCCAACCAUUCACGCGGGCCGUAUGAGGGUUAUACCGGAUUCCCUUGAUUUCUUAAGUUCAAGCGGGCCGCGUAAAGAUCCCCGUUAGUUUACGCGGGCCGCGCGUGUUCCAAAUGGUGGCGCAACUCUGAGCUGACACGUGUCGAUAUCGUGUCGAGUCUACUUGGUGACCAGGCUAAGCUACGCAGUUGACCGGAGUCAACGCGGGCCGCGUAAGCCCAGUCCAUAUUUUACGCGGGCCGCGAGAGAGUCCAGUAUCAGCCCUAUAAAUUGGAUCGUCGAGCCUUCAGUCUGCUUCGUUCAAAAUCAAUUCUUUCUCUCUCAAAAUUAAAUAGUGGGCAUUAUACGCGGGUAUUAUACCCCCUAAUUAGCGAAGCUCUGCCUCGUUAUUAUAACCAGGAAGCCACAAAGGAAAUACCUAAAAUAGCAAUGUAACUUAGUAUGAAGCACAUAAAAGCCAGCUGGAGAGCACUGAAGGCUUAGAAAAGUGGCUAUAAAAGUUACCUAAAUAAAAGAAAGUGUUUACUUCAAUAAAAUGGGAUUUAUCCCUGUAAAUCAGUUUGUAAUGAAAACUUGGGUUUUACCCAUGUGAUUAUAAAAAUAAAAAUGUGGUGGUUUACUCU
This is a long non-coding RNA of Helianthus annuus (common sunflower), 738 nucleotides long. RefSeq lists it as uncharacterized. The transcript has 3 exons. NCBI's taxonomy places the organism in Eukaryota, Viridiplantae, Streptophyta, Magnoliopsida, Asterales, Asteraceae. The record is from RefSeq and is a predicted model, not a curated record.